CAGUCGCCGCGGUAAUACGUAGGUGGCAAGCGUUGUCCGGAAUUAUUGGGCGUAAAGGGAGCGCAGGCGGGCGAGUAAGUCUUUCUUAAAAGUGCGGGGCUCAACCCCGUGAGGGGAGAGAAACUACUCAUCUUGAGUGCAGGAGAGGAAAGCGGAAUUCCUAGUGUAGCGGUGAAAUGCGUAGAUAUUAGGAAGAGCACCAGUGGCGAAGGCGGCUUUCUGGACUGUAACUGACGCUGAGGCUCGAAAGCCAGGGGAGCGAACGGGAUUAGAUACCCCCGUAGUCCCUGUCUCUUAUACA
RNAcentral lists this ribosomal RNA (301 nucleotides) under uncultured bacterium. RNAcentral's name for it is "partial 16S ribosomal RNA". It matches the Rfam family "Bacterial small subunit ribosomal RNA", at positions 509 to 809 of the family's 1533-position model. The record is from RNAcentral.